Molecule: ribosomal RNA, 252 nt
Filed under: uncultured bacterium
Lineage: Bacteria
Description: partial 16S ribosomal RNA
Rfam family: Bacterial small subunit ribosomal RNA
Source: RNAcentral
UACGGAGGAUGCGAGCGUUAUCCGGAUUUAUUGGGUUUAAAGGGUGCGUAGGCGGACUGUCAAGUCAGCGGUAAAAUACGGGGGCUCAACCUCCGCCCGCCGUUGAAACUGACGGUCUUGAGUGGGCGAGAAGUAUGCGGAAUGCGUGGUGUAGCGGUGAAAUGCAUAGAUAUCACGCAGAACUCCGAUUGCGAAGGCAGCAUACCGGCGCCCAACUGACGCUGAGGCACGAAAGCGUGGGUAUCGAACAGG